This 579-nucleotide ribosomal RNA is filed under the name Blastocystis sp. subtype 1. Its description in RNAcentral is "SSU rRNA". It matches the Rfam family "Eukaryotic small subunit ribosomal RNA", at positions 638 to 1231 of the family's 1831-position model. Lineage: Eukaryota; Bigyra; Opalinata; Blastocystidae. The record is from RNAcentral.
AGUGUGGGUGACGCUGUUGUGAGACUUCGGUCUCUCGACAGUAAGUCACCCCCUUCCAGUAUCCAGUAGUGGGUAUUCAGUUACUUACUAUUGUGUGUUGGUCGUUUACUGUGAGAAAAUUAGAGUGUUCAAAGCAGGCGUUUGCUUGAAUAGAUUAGCAUGGAAUAAUAAUUGAAGGCUUUCGUGUUCGAUUUGAUUGGUUUGUUCAUGGAAGCAAGGUUAAAAGGAACAGUUGGGGGUAUUCAUAUUCACUAGUUAGAGGUGAAAUUCUCGGAUUUAUGGAAGAAUGAACAAGUGCGAAAGCAUUUACCAAGGAUGUUUUCAUUAAUCAAGAACGAAAGCUAGGGGAUCGAAGAGGAUUAGAUACCCUCGUAGUCUUAGCUAUAAACGAUACCGACUAGGGGUUAGUAGAGGUCAAAGUGUCUUUAUUAGUACCUUAUGAGAAAUCAAAGUCUUUGGGUUCCGGGGGGAGUAUGGUCGCAAGGCUGAAACUUAAAGGAAUUGACGGAAGGGCACCACCAGGAGUGGAGCCUGCGGCUUAAUUUGACUCAACACGGGGAAACUUACCAGUCUAGACUA